Molecule: RNA transcript, 3976 nt
Organism: Brassica rapa (field mustard)
Lineage: Eukaryota; Viridiplantae; Streptophyta; Magnoliopsida; Brassicales; Brassicaceae
Gene name: PH, RCC1 and FYVE domains-containing protein 1
Source: RefSeq, a predicted model, not a curated record
AUUUGUUUCUCUCCUUUUGCUUUCUCUCCAUCCCUCUAAAGUGCGUAACAGAAGAAGAAGAAGAAGAUCAUCAUCUUCUCUAGAUUCUACACUUCCUCGCCUUCCUCUCUCGCGUCUUGCAGCACCUACAAGAGCUCCGAUUCCUCUGUCUUGGACGGCGUCUAUCACUCGAGCUGUUUCGAUUGCUUCUCCGUUAAUCAGAGGGAAGCAAACGGUUUCGGGAGCUGCUUCAUCGACGAUCAUCGAGAUGAACCCCGUGAAUGUGUAGAUUAGUCUUCAGAAUCUCAGCAAAGUUGAGAUUUCAGCUUGUGUAUGUCGAGAAACGGAAGGAUGGCGUCGGAUCUUAGCAGAGCUGUUCCCGUCGAGAGAGAUAUCGAGCAGGCAAUCAUUGCUCUGAAGAAGGGAGCUUACUUGCUAAAGUAUGGAAGAAGAGGGAAGCCUAAGUUCUGCCCUUUUCGCCUUUCUAAUGAUGAAACUGUUUUGAUAUGGUUUUCCGGUAAGGAGGAGAAACAUCUGAAGCUAAGCCAUGUUUCUAGGAUCAUAUCUGGACAACGCACUCCUAUUUUUCAAAGGUAUCCUCGUCCCGAGAAGGAAUAUCAGUCUUUUUCACUAAUAUACAGCGAGAGGUCUUUGGAUGUGAUCUGCAAGGAUAAAGAUGAGGCUGAGGUGUGGUUUAGUGGUCUUAAAGCCUUGAUUUCGCAUUUCCGUCAAAGAACUAGGAGGACUGAAUCAAGAAGUGAUGGGACACCAUCUGAAGCUAACAGCCCAAGGACAUAUACCCGGAGAAGCUCUCCUUUGCACUCUCCAUUUAGCAGCAAUGACAGUUUGCAGAAGGAUGGUUCUGAUCACCUUCGCAUUCACAGUCCUUUUGAGAGCCCGCCUAAGCUUGACAAGGCAUUAUCGGACAUGGCAUUAUAUGCAGUUCCUCCAAAAAGAUUUUAUCCCUCAGAUUCUGGAACUAUUUCAGUUCAUUCUGGAGGGUCAGAUAGUAUGCAUGGACAUAUGAGGGGUACGGGCAUGGAUGCUUUUAGAGUUAGUAUGUCAAGUGCUGUUAGUUCCUCGAGUCACGGCUCUGGUCAUGAUGAGGGAGAUGCGUUAGGAGAUGUUUUCAUCUGGGGAGAAGGCAUAGGAGAAGGUGUUUUGGGUGGUGGAAACCGUAGAGUUGGAAGUUCGUUUGACAUAAAAAUGGAUUCCUUAUUGCCAAAAGCUUUAGAAUCUACAAUAGUACUUGACGUCCAAAAUAUUGCUUGUGGUGGACAGCAUGCUGUCCUUGCGACAAAACAAGGAGAAUGUUUUUCUUGGGGAGAGGAGUCUGAAGGCAGGCUUGGCCAUGGUGUUGACUCCAAUAUUCAAAAUCCUAAGCUAAUCGAUGCACUUAACACCACAAAUAUUGAGCUUGUAGCUUGUGGAGAGUUCCAUAGCUGUGCAGUUACUCUUUCCGGGGAUUUGUAUACCUGGGGAAAAGGAGAUUUUGGUGUUCUUGGACAUGGAAAUGAAGUCAGUCAUUGGGUCCCUAAGAGAGUUAACUUUCUGUUGGAAGGGAUACAUGUAUCAUCCAUCGCUUGUGGACCUUACCACACAGCAGUUGUGACCUCUGCUGGGCAGUUGUUUACUUUCGGUGAUGGGACUUUUGGCGUUUUGGGCCACGGAGACAGGAAAAGUGUUUUCACACCUCGGGAGGUUGAUUCUUUGAAAGGUCUUCGCACUGUCCGGGCAGCCUGUGGUGUAUGGCACACAGCAGCAGUUGUGGAAGUCAUGGUUGGGAGCUCGAGCUCGAGUAAUUGCUCUUCUGGGAAGCUCUUCACAUGGGGUGAUGGCGAUAAGUGUCGUCUUGGUCAUGGCAAUAAAGAACCAAAACUUGUGCCUACCUGUGUUGCUGCUCUUGUUGAACCCAAUUUUUGUCAAGUGGCAUGUGGGCACAGUUUAACGGUUGCACUGACAACAUCAGGCGAAGUCUAUACUAUGGGCAGUCCUGUCUAUGGUCAGCUGGGAAACUCAUAUGCAGAUGGAAAAGUUCCAAACCGUGUCGAAGGUAAACUUCACAAGAGUUUUGUCGAAGAGAUUGCCUGCGGUGCUUAUCAUGUCGCAGUCUUAACUGCGAAGACAGAGGUUUACACCUGGGGAAAGGGAUCAAAUGGUAGACUUGGUCAUGGGGAUGUAGAUGAUAGAAACUCGCCUACAUUGGUAGAGUCGCUAAAGGAUAAACAGGUGAAAAGUAUUGCAUGUGGAACUAACUUCACAGCAGCUGUCUGCAUUCACAGAUGGGCAUCGGGGAUGGACCAGUCCAUGUGUUCAGGUUGCCGUCAGCCCUUCAAUUUCAAGAGAAAGAGGCACAACUGCUAUAACUGCGGACUAGUGUUUUGCCAUUCGUGCACUAACAAAAAGUCUCUGAAGGCUUGUAUGGCACCGAACCCGAACAAACCAUAUCGAGUGUGUGACAAGUGCUUUAACAAAUUGAAAAAGACCAUGGAAACUGAUUCAUCGUCUCAUUCUUCUCUGAGUAGAAGAGGAAGCAUUAACCAGGGAUCAGAUACCAUAUACAAAGACGACAAGUUGGAUUCUAGAUCCGAUGGACAGUUAGCUAGAUUUUCACUGAUGGACUCCAUGAAACAAGUGGACAAUCGACAUAAGAAGAACAAGAAAUACGAAUUCAAUAGUAGCCGUGUCUCGCCUAUACCAAGUAGAAGCUCUCAACGUGGUGCGCUUAACAUAGUCAAGACUUUCAAUCCAGUGUUUGGAGCAUCAAAGAAGUUCUUCUCAGCUUCUGUUCCUGGUUCUCGAAUUGUGUCUCGGGCAACUUCUCCAGUAUCAAGACGUCCCAGUCCACCACGUUCAACAACACCAACUCCCACUCUUUCGGGACUUACCACACCGAGAAUUGUAGUGGAUGAUACUAAGAGAACCAGUGAUAAUCUUAGCCAAGAGGUUGUUAAGCUAAGAUCUCAAGUUGAAAGUCUUACAAGGAAGGCACAAUUCCAAGAAGUUGAGCUGGAAAGAACAGCCAAGCAACUCAAAGAGGCGUUGGCAAUCGCUAGCGAAGAAACCACAAGAUGCAAGGCAGCAAAAGAAGUGAUCAAAUCACUUACCGCUCAACUGAAAGACAUGGCUGAGAGGUUACCCGUUGGCUCAGCUCCAGCUCGAGCUAUAAAGUCUCCUUCGUCUCUUAAUUCAUUUGGUUCCAGCCCUGGUCGCAUUGACCCUUUUAAUAUCUUAAACCGACCAAACAGUCAAGAAUCCACCGAGCCAGAUGGAGUAAAUACCCCAAUAUUUUCUAAUGGGACCAUUACACCUGUGUUUGGUAACGGUGAAGCAACGAAUGAAGCACAGAACGAGAAGGAAUGGGUUGAACAAGACGAGCCUGGUGUCUACAUCACACUUACAGCCUUAGCCGGAGGUGCUAGAGACCUCAAACGCGUCCGUUUCAGCCGAAAAAAGUUCAGUGAGAAACAAGCGGAACAGUGGUGGGCAGAUAAGAGAGGAAGAGUCUAUGAACAGUACAAUGUACGGAUCGUUGACAAAGCCAGUGAGGAAAUGCCUCGGUGAAACUCUUUAACCACUUCUCUUAUUUUUCUUCCACGCCCGAGUCAGGUGAGUGCAGGAAUCUCGGGAUAUAACAACAGGUUGUAUAUUCUUUGUGAAGAGGAAAGUAUAUGUAAGACUGAUUUGAGUAUAAGGGAUCAACGUAGCAAAGCAGUGACUGGUUCAAGUGUUUGAUGCAAUCAACACAUAAAUAAUGGUUUCAGAUUGAAAAGAGGACAUGAAGUUGAGGGUAUAGAGCAAAGCAAAUGACUGGUUCAAGUGGCUUUUCUUCUAGCCUUGCUACGACAUGUAGGAAUCUAAAGUUCAUUCAUACUGAAAUUAAAACCUGAUAAGAGUAGCAUUUCUUCUAAUUUCUGCUGAAGUAAUAAUAAAGUUUCUGUAUGUAUGAUCAGUAAUGUUGUUUAUGUAUUCAUAGUAAAACUAGAAUUACAAGUCA